RNAcentral lists this ribosomal RNA (373 nucleotides) under uncultured organism. Its description in RNAcentral is "partial 16S ribosomal RNA". It matches the Rfam family "Bacterial small subunit ribosomal RNA", at positions 527 to 896 of the family's 1533-position model. The record is from RNAcentral.
GUAGGUGGCAAGCGUUGUCCGGAAUUAUUGGGCGUAAAGCGCGCGCAGGCGGUUCUUUAAGUCUGAUGUGAAAGCCCCCGGGCUCAACCGGGGAGGGUCAUUGGAAACUGGGGAACUUGAGUGCAGGAGAGGAAAGUGGAAUUCCACGUGUAGCGGUGAAAUGCGUAGAUAUGUGGAGGAACACCAGUGGCGAAGGCGACUUUCUGGCCUGUAACUGACACUGAGGCGCGAAAGCGUGGGGAGCAAACAGGAUUAGAUACCCUGGUAGUCCACGCCGUAAACGAUGAGUGCUAAGUGUUGGGGGGUUUCCGCCCCUCAGUGCUGCAGCUAACGCAUUAAGCACUCCGCCUGGGGAGUACGGUCGCAAAGACUG